This 433-nucleotide ribosomal RNA is filed under the name uncultured bacterium. RNAcentral's name for it is "partial 16S ribosomal RNA". It matches the Rfam family "Bacterial small subunit ribosomal RNA", at positions 29 to 507 of the family's 1533-position model. The record is from RNAcentral.
AACGAACGCUGGCGGCAUGCCUAACACAUGCAAGUCGAACGAGACCUUCGGGUCUAGUGGCGCACGGGUGCGUAACGCGUGGGAACCUGCCCUUAGGUUCGGAAUAACUCCCCGAAAGGGGUGCUAAUACCGGAUAAUGUCUUCGGACCAAAGAUUUAUCGCCUUUGGAUGGGCCCGCGUUGGAUUAGCUAGUUGUUAGGGUAAAAGCCUACCACGGCGACGAUCCAUAGCUGGUCUGAGAGGAUGAUCAGCCACACUGGGACUGAGACGCGGCCCAGACUCCUACGGGAGGCAGCAGGGGGGAAUAGUGGACAGUGGGCGAAAGCCUGAUGCAGCAAUGCCGCGUGAGUGAUGAAGGCCUUAGGGUAGUAAAGCUCUUUUACCCGGGAUGAUAAUGACAGUACCGGGAGAAUAAGCUCCGGCUAACUACGUG